CUCGGAUCAGAAUGCUGUUUCCCCAUGCUCUUCCAAGGCUCAUUGAGCACUGACCCCAGCUCUGCUCAUGCCCCACACAGGUCACCCUCUGGGUAGCCCACUGUGUGGAUUCCAUGAAGCAUGCCCUUCUCCCACACAGUCAUCAGCAGUAUCAAUGACCUCCCUCUUCCCAGCUCCAUCAAAGCCAGCCCUGGAAUUAUUAAAGAAAGUCUGACUCCAAGGCAGCCUUUUCUUUCCUCUGCUGAGUGAUUUUCAUUCCUUACAAGAGGAGUUAUCUACAAGCAACAUCGUUCCUGAGGCCAACUGGUCCUCAGUGUCACUUGAGCAUCUGCUGUAUUGUCCUCCUCCUGUGUGGGUCACCGUUGUUGUCUGUCUCUGCAGUCACCAUGGUCUCCUGUCUGAACAGCCCCUCCACCUGGAGCUCUUUGUUUUCCAACUCAGCCACUGUUGACAGCAUAGGCACCUUUGUCUGACACCAUCCAAGCCUUCUUCCACUUGCAGUGUUGUGCUGACUCUGCCAGUCACAGUCUUCGCUGACACAAGAGCUCUACUCUAGACAGAUGGACAAAUCACAGUUGUCUCCUGGAAGGAAGGGCUGAGCUGUGCUGCAAUGUCUGCUUCUUCCUUGAGGACACUAAAAUCUUAAGUAACUCCCAGGACCCAUGCAAUCUAACCUACCUAUCUGAGGAUGAAAUCUUUGUAGCCACAAACUUCCCC
Heterocephalus glaber (naked mole-rat) is the source of this 717-nucleotide long non-coding RNA. NCBI's taxonomy places the organism in Eukaryota, Metazoa, Chordata, Mammalia, Rodentia, Bathyergidae. The record is from Ensembl.